This 834-nucleotide long non-coding RNA is filed under the name Hordeum vulgare. RNAcentral describes it as "long non-coding RNA (HVUL_LNC012833)". Lineage: Eukaryota; Viridiplantae; Streptophyta; Magnoliopsida; Poales; Poaceae. The record is from RNAcentral.
UCACCAUCCCUGUAUACGGAUGGUCACAUCAUCUUUCUUAAAGAUUAUGAAUAUAUGAUUUCAUCUGCUGUGAACUUUAGGGUAAUUGUUGUGUUGAGGGGCAGAUGACAAUGUCGAAGGGGACUAAGCAUUGAAAGGUUUAUCUACCAUAGACUCGGAUGAGAGAACUUUUGGAUAGAAAUACUAAAGGCAUGUUUGGUUGCCUUCCAUAUUACCAAACUUGUGUCUCAAGUCUGGCAAGCCCCAGUCUUGUGGUUUCAGCUUGGCAAAAGUUGGCUAACAAAUGAGACUGUGAUAGGUGGGUUAAGAAUCUAAUAAAGGGUGGCAGUUGACAAUUGUGUCUGCAACCAACAACUGCCAAACUGUCUGUCUAAUGUUUUGUAAUAUUUGGCUACAAACAAAACAUGCUCUGAUUAGGGUUGGCUUGAUUGUGUUACACUAUAUGUGGAUUGCACUAGCCCUUUCCUUAGUUCGGACUUUUGGUUGCGUUGGCUAGUGCAUGAAGCUUAACAUGGGUAUUAGAGCCAGGUUUUGAGUUCAAGUCCUGGCUUUCGCAAUUUAUUUAAAAAAAUUGCCGGUAGCCCCCCUUUGUGUCCACGUAAAGGCCUCUUGAGUCAUACGCGAGUUUCGCGCGCCGGCGCUCUCUUCCGGUUGCACGUGUUGACUUGUCUUCCCGUCACACGCGAGAGGGGGUGUUACAGUAUAUGUGAAUUGCACUAGCCCUUUCCAUCAGUUCGGACUUUUGGUUGCGUUGGCUAGUGCAUGAAGCUUAACAGAUUGGACCCCUCACACAAAUCUUAGUGUUACCUUAAAGUACUCCCUCCAUUCACAAAU